GACGAACGCUGGCGGCGUGCUUAACACAUGCAAGUCGAACGGAAAGGCCCUGCUUUUGUGGGGUGCUCGAGUGGCGAACGGGUGAGUAACACGUGAGUAACCUGCCCUUGAUUUUGGGAUAACUUCAGGAAACUGGGGCUAAUACCGGAUAGGAGCUCCUGCUGCAUGGUGGGGGUUGGAAAGUUUCGGCGGUUGGGGAUGGACUCGCGGCUUAUCAGCUUGUUGAUGGGGUAGUGGCUUACCAAGGCUUUGACGGGUAGCCGGCCUGAGAGGGUGACCGGCCACAUUGGGACUGAGAUACGGCCCAGACUCCUACGGGAGGCAGCAGUGGGGAAUAUUGCACAAUGGGCGGAAGCCUGAUGCAGCAACGCCGCGUGCGGGAUGACGGCCUUCGGGUUGUAAACCGCUUUCGCCUGUGACGAAGCGUGAGUGACGGUAAUGGGUAAAGAAGCACCGGCUAACUACGUG
RNAcentral lists this ribosomal RNA (468 nucleotides) under uncultured bacterium. RNAcentral describes it as "partial 16S ribosomal RNA". It matches the Rfam family "Bacterial small subunit ribosomal RNA", at positions 28 to 507 of the family's 1533-position model. The record is from RNAcentral.